UACGUAGGGGGCAAGCGUUGUCCGGAAUUAUUGGGCGUAAAGGGUGCGUAGGCGGCCGACUAAGUCAGAUGUGAAAUACCAGGGCUCAACCUUGGGGGUGCAUUUGAAACUGGUUGGCUUGAGUGCAGGAGAGGAAAGUGGAAUUCCUAGUGUAGCGGUGAAAUGCGUAGAGAUUAGGAGGAACACCAGUGGCGAAGGCGACUUUCUGGACUGUAACUGACGCUGAGGCACGAAAGCGUGGGGAGCAAACAGG
RNAcentral lists this ribosomal RNA (253 nucleotides) under Eubacteriales bacterium. RNAcentral's name for it is "partial 16S ribosomal RNA". It matches the Rfam family "Bacterial small subunit ribosomal RNA", at positions 524 to 776 of the family's 1533-position model. The record is from RNAcentral. RNAcentral also lists the same sequence under 1 other name. Lineage: Bacteria; Bacillati; Bacillota; Clostridia; Eubacteriales.